UACAGGGGGGGCAAGCGUUGUUCGGAAUUACUGGGCGUAAAGGGCUCGUAGGCGGCCAACUAAGUCGGACGUGAAAUCCCCAGGCUCAACCUGGGAACUGCGUCUGAUACUGGAUGGCUUGAAUCCGGGAGAGGGAUGCAGAAUUCCAGGUGUAGCGGUGAAAUGCGUAGAUAUCUGGAGGAAUACCGGUGGCGAAGGCGGCAUCCUGGACCGGCAUUGACGCUGAGGAGCGAAAGCCAGGGGAGCAAACGGG
Molecule: ribosomal RNA, 253 nt
Filed under: uncultured bacterium
Lineage: Bacteria
Description: partial 16S ribosomal RNA
Rfam family: Bacterial small subunit ribosomal RNA
Source: RNAcentral